This is a long non-coding RNA of Pelmatolapia mariae (spotted tilapia), 336 nucleotides long. RefSeq lists it as uncharacterized. The transcript is spliced from 3 exons. NCBI's taxonomy places the organism in Eukaryota, Metazoa, Chordata, Actinopteri, Cichliformes, Cichlidae. The record is from RefSeq and is a predicted model, not a curated record.
CAUCAGUCAAAUAAAACUGAGAUGGGAAGAAUUCUGCUCCAGGGUAGAGUUCUACGGUGUGUCAAAGAAGGCAAUGAAUCCACCAAUGACCAUGGACAAAACUGAAGCCCACCUUGCACUGAUGAAGGCUCUUCCAACGCUCUUUCCCACACCUGCCCAUCCACCAAAAAAGAUGGGGAAUGCUUCUGAAGCAUUUCUACAUGUCCUGAAGCCUACAGAAGAUCCAGAUGCUGUCCUCCAGAAACGAAGCUUGUCAUGUCCAGUAGUGAUGUUCGAUGGCUGCAAGUGUGUCAUUGCUGUUGGUAAUUUACCAGUUACAACAUUUGACAAAGAAAA